Molecule: long non-coding RNA, 18173 nt
Filed under: Triticum aestivum (bread wheat)
Lineage: Eukaryota; Viridiplantae; Streptophyta; Magnoliopsida; Poales; Poaceae
Description: long non-coding RNA (TAES_LNC013981)
Source: RNAcentral
GACUCUUGAGUUUACUAAUCUCAGUUGGCAGUUCUGUAAUAUAACUGUCUGUUAUGUUCAAAGUAUGCAAGCCUUGUAAUUUCCCUAUGGAUCUAGGUAGUUUGUAAAUAUGUGAAUAUCCUUGAGGAUAAGAAAAAUUCAGAUACUUCAAGUGACGAAACAAUCCUAUGUUGCUGAUAUCCUUUUGUGUCACUUCAAACUGUGCGUUCUCUAGAUCCAAGGCUCGGAGCAUUCUCAUGUCAGGUGAACAAAUUGAAGAUGAUGGCUCCAUGGAUCUCUCACCAAACAUGGUUAAUGAACGAACAUGGCUACAAUCCACGCCUAAUUUUGGGCACUUACUACCAUGGUAUGCUACAUGACGGAAGUUCCCCUCUGCUAUAGUAGUUGCAUUAUCUCCUGCCAAGUACAGAAAAUUUUCUUCCCUGGAUAUCGAGACCAUCACAUCACGCAUGAUAUCAUGGACUCGGCAACUCUUAAUAUGUCCUUCUAUGCUCACUUUUGAGGGCUGAAUCAUGCUUCGGUUGAUUAGCUCGGUGAAAUAACUUAUUCCAACAUCUUUGAUGUUUACUCCACCUCUGGCUCUAACAAACCCCUCUGUUAUCCAUCUAUCUACCAAACGCCUCCUUUUGAUUUCAAAAUCCUCAGGAAAGAUGCUUAGAUACAGAAAGCAUGACUUGAGAUGAGACGGCAAGCUAUUGUAGCUUAGAGUAACUAUCCUCCUCAUUGCUUCUAGGCUAGGGUUGCUCUCAAGCUCUGAUGGGAUUUGUGUAUAGAUACUUUCCCACUCUGUUGCCUUUUUGUUGCCAAGCAUGCCUCCUAUAGUGAGUAUAGCCAGCGGUAGACCACCACACUUCUUUACAAUUUUGUUGACCACUGCCAUCAUUUUCUUAUCAUUUUUCAUGUCUUCCCGUGUUUUGCCACUCUUUCUUAGUAGCAAAUUUGUGGCAUCCUCUAUUUGUAGGUGCUUAAGGUGGUAGAUAAGUGAUUCUGAAGUGCACUGCGCAGCCAAGCCCACAUCUCGUGUUGUUACUAUUAUUCGGCUACCUUUAUUGUUUCUAAUAGGAAAAGCAAUAUAUUUGAUCCAAUUCCAGGCAUCUAUGGUCCACACAUCAUCAAGAACAAUAAGGUAUUUCUUGUCCUCUAGCUUUUCUCUGAGGUAGUUGGCGAGAUGCUCUACUUGCAUUGCCUUCUGUUCAAGUUCUUUCAAGCAUUUCCUCAGUGACUCGGUACCCAAAAGUUGACUUAUCAUCUCCUUGAGCAUCUCUAUCUUCGAAAAUGACUGUGAGACUGUGACCCAAGCACAACAAGCAAAUUUAUUCACAAUAUCUUCCUUGCUAUCAUAUGCCUUCCUUGCUAGAGUAGUCUUGCCUAAACCGCCCAUGCCAACGACACAUAUCACCUUCGAAAGACCAUCUCUGGAGUUAACAUCCACCAUCUUAAUCAACUCCUCUUUAGGGUUAACAAAGCCCACAAGCUCUGCCUCAUCAAUGUUACCAGCUGAGUGGCUACGAACAUCUUCCAUGCUGGCAUUCACCUCGUCAAUGUUGCUGGAGGCAUCAGCGUUGAUCAAGUUAUAGCGUGCAUUCCUAUUGCUCACUUCUUCAACUCUUGCUUUGAGAUCACGGAUUUGGCUGGCAAUCCGAUGCCGAUCGUUCAGCUUAAGCAGCCGUCGAGAACGGCUCUGGCUUCCCACAUGCACCAUAAAUUCAUCAAGACAAUCCUCAAUACCAUAUGCUAGAUCUCUUACUUGCUCUGCCCACACCUUCAGUAGCAUGUUUUUCUUCUUUGUUUUCUCAUCAGCCACGAGGAAUGCUUGCAUCGUCUUGAGCUCGUCUUUUAUGAACCUAGUCAACAAGGUUUCUUAGAACAAAUCAGCUUACUGCCAUUUUACCGCUCACAAAUAGGAGGGAACAACUCCCAUUUCGAUUGAAAAACAACAAUAUUUUUGAGAUGUAUAUAUACAGCUAGGUACGUGGGCUAAAAGAAGCAUCCAGUCAUUUUGUUGUAAAAAUAAAAUAAGCUAGCUGUCCAUCGGCCUAUAUGUGAGCGGUACAUACCAGAUCAUCGACUAGUAAAAACAAAAUCGACCUGACAAAAGGAACACCGGCCGGACGAGAAUUCAGAAGUACAUACCAGAUGUCCUUGCGGACGCCUAUGAGGAGGCUCAUCUCGGUGGCCGCGGCAGAGGCGGCCAUGGUGAUGGCGCCCCCCAGCAUGGAUCUCGCCAUGCUCACCACCGUGUCCGCCAUCUCUAGCUCUUUCCGUCCGCCCUUCCUUCCUUUCACGACUCUCAAGUGCUACAAGGCCGGCCGGCGUGGGUGUUGGUAGCUUUGGUAGGAUGCUGUGUGCGCUCAGGCUGCUUACUUUGGAGAAUAGCUAGGUUGGUGGCCGACAUGACACGGUAACCUAAAGAUGCAAAGCAAAAAGAGGCACGGAUGACACCUAGUUUGCUCUACCUGUUUGUACACGCAAUUAAAGAUGCAAAGAAGGAAGGAAGGAAAGUAGCCCUCGCCAGGGCAAUUUGCAUUUCGCAGAGAAGAAAGACAUGGCAAUGGCAUAGGGUAUAUCACCAAGGAAAGCAUCACUCAAGAAGCGUCUCCAAAGCAAAAAGUAUCGCAGAGGAGAACCUUUAGUUUGUACCAACUUUAAUAAAUUUGUGCAGAUCCAAAACUGAAUAGUACGCGUUUUUCACACGCAGAAUCUUAUUCGACGCUCACCUCAUUUGAUUUGUCAACGUUUCACACAGAGUGUGCGCUCAACUUAUUUUGUUCUCUUCUGGUUCAAGGAUGUGUUUCUCCGGGUUUUCUACCUUUUUCUCUUGUUCUCUUCAGUUUUUACUUUACAACUUUUCUUUCAUUUUGUGUCUUUUCAUUUUUCUCAUCUAGUUUUUGCUUUUGCUUUUACUUUUUUUCCUUUUUAUGUCAUUUUAUAAAUAUAGUUCUUGCAUACACAUGAAUAUUAUUUGAAUAUGUGAUGGCAUUUUUUUCUAAUACAUGACAAUCAUUUUUAAAUGAAUAUUGUUUUUCAAUACAUGAGGCACGAUGGCCACUUUUUUAAAAUACAUGAUGAGCAUUCUAUAAUAUGCAAUGAAAAUUUGUCAAAUGCAUUUAAAACACUGCAAUAUUUGUUUUAGUAAUUAAGUUUAUUUUGACAAUACUUAUUUAUACAUGCAUAUGUGAGUUUUUGUAAAAUAUUACAUACAUGGCAUAUUAUUGUAAAAAUGUUCAUGAAUUAACAACAUAUUUUUGUAAAAUGUUCAUGAAUUUUAUUUUAAAGGAUUUUAAAAUCUUUAAAGAAUUUAAAAAUAUAUAUUCACAAAAUUUAAAAAUGAUCAUGAACUACAAAAAUGUCCAUGCAUUUAAAAAAUAUGUGUGUAUUCAGAAAACCAAGGUCGGACUCCGCCUCCUCACCGUCGAGCAGACACAAUCAACGACGACUACGAAAUAGGGCGUGCGUCCAUGGCCUUGGAAAGCCGUGGGCGCAUGAGGUCUGCCCGCAGCAGCUGCCCUGCCUUACAACUCAACACAGUCUAAGUGAAGUGCUCGGUCUUUCUCUUGUUCAUGGUGCAGCUAUCCUGCUGCAGGAGGUUCCCACUUUUUCGUGUAGUGAUGAAGUGGACUUGUAGCUGCUGAUUUUCUUCACAAGUCUGAACCCCUAAUGGCACUUGGCUGAUGAGCAUGCAGUUAUAUAGUGGCAUGGUUACUGGACAGGGCCUGUACAUAGGGCGAUUUGAAAUUCUAAACUAUCAAAUCUCUGCAUAAGAGUGGUUCCGAAAAAUUCUCGAGCAUUUCAAUUGUUGCUCUUUUUUGUUCUUGUUGUUGGCAUACUGAUGAGGAUAAAGCUUGAGGGACACAUAAAUGAGCCCGGUGAUGCCUCGGGGAUGGGUCUGUAUAAGACCCGGUCUGUAUCUCAGUCAGUCUGCUGACUGCUGAGCUCAGCCUGUAGGGUCCCCGUAAUCUAAGAAACUGCCGACAGUCUGCAAACAUGGUCACUGACUAUGUAUGGAAAAUACUAGUAUUGCUCAUUCCGAAAUAAAACUGGGGAUGCCGGAUACCGUUUCGAGGCCUUUUUGUUGGCAAACUGUAAUUUGCAAAGCGAAACCAUUGAAAAUCGUACAGUUAAUACCAUAUGUAGCAGGGCAGCAGACGUAUUGUUUCAUCAACUCUAGACUCAAAUUUUGUGGAAAAUGGAAAACCACAUAUGCAAUCAUCAUUAUUUGUUUACAACCAAGCACAUACAUUGUGGUAACAAGAAAUGGAGAGCAAUAAACCAUCUCUAGGAAAACGGAAUACUAGAAAAUAGAGCAAGUCUGAUUUCGAAAUAGAAGGUCUUUUCAUCAGGUUGAACAUCUAUUCCAUUCCAUGGUGUUCCCCAAGAACCCAAUUUUCCAUCUGGGCCAACAGUUGCAACUUGCUGAGAUAUUAGAAUGGCGUCGCAGCUUGCUUCUCCACUUCGUUACAUUAAAGCCACAAGAUCACUGCACUCAUCUUCCAUCGCAGCUGCGAAAUGUCAGGAUCCCUCUCAGCUGCACCUUGCACCAUAUUAGAGGCUGCCAGCCAGCAGAGAGAAACUAGAUAGCUGAACUGGAUGGCCAAUUGCAGCUUAACAGUACAUAUAUGCAGCUUGAUUGGUACAAACAUCUUGUGUGGUGUGGUCCAUUGCAUUUUCCAAUGUUGUCUCUCCAGCUGAGAACAAAUAUAGGGCAUUAAUUAAUUAGUACAUAUCAUCAGCAGACGCAUGUUCGGCAUCUGAAAACGAGACCAGGAACUGUAUAUAUAUGGAAAAUCGAACACGCCAACAACGAACAGGAGCUGAAUUGACCAUUUAUGGUGUGAUUACAGUUCACAAUUUAGAACAUUCAGUUUCCUUUUCAAGCACUGGAUGGCUGAAAUGUUUUGUUCACUUCAGCUGCAGAGGCAUGCACCCUGCUCAGACCUCAUAUACCUGAGAGUUGCUUCAGCUCCUCCGUAAUAUCAAGAUUCCUGAAAUUUUGAAAUACUACCACAUUGAGAGCACUAAUUUCUCCCCAGCAUAUACAAUUAUAAACUGAAAUACAGAAAGAAAAGGAGGUUAGCCGGUGCUCACGGCCCACCUCUGGUACUUCCAUUGGACUAUACCUUCCUCCAGUUGGCUCCUUGCUAUUAUACAACCUUCAUCGGAAAAUCAAGUAAUGUGCCGCCAUAAGUCGCAUUAAUUGCAUUAUGAGCUUAGUCAUGCCAUGCUCCAGCUUGUCCCAGGUUGAGAAAUCCCAACUUCGUGUAAAGUGUGUCAACAAAAGGGGUGCUUCAAAUUAUAUAAGAGAUGAGGAGGUAGCCCAUAUCGUAAUGGUGAGAGUAUAUAAUAGAGCAAGCUGACCAUAUGAAAAAGAACUAGUUCUGUUUGGAGACGACAGGCAUCAACUUACAGUGCAGAUUGUAUGGCCUAUAAUUUGGGGUUUAUGUUUAAAGAACAGAAUGUUAUUUUCUUCUUUUGUACAAAAAACAGGGGAAAUAUAAGCUGAAAGGAAAUCUAAGAAAAAUCAGUCACCUGUAAGCUGCAGCCUUGGAAAUAUAUGCAGACGAUUUGGGUGCAGAAGCAUGGUGCUAUAAUUAGACUCCGAUGCCAUCAUAUAACAGCGCAGCUCAUCAUCGCUAUAAGAGACAAUAAAAAGAGAGAUGAAUCGAAACAUCUCAUCUGGUAGCUAGUAGCUAGUACCUACUGCUUGAACAAAAGAGAAAUCAACUUAUCAACAGCUCACCUGUCGUUUGUGGUCUGCAUUGCUGCAUCUUGUGAGCUCUCUCCCGCUGCAGGUCCCUAAACGGAUGACUCCUCUGUAGCUUCUAAUUGAACAGUGGAUCCUUCGCGGAGGUCCAGGUCACGGAAGAUUCGUUCAUAGUAAAGUUGCAGCACGGGAUGGUUGCGGUGUGCAUUGACUCCACCUUCCAGCACAACAAGCCUCGCAACUUUUCAGAAAUAACCGAUCCGCCAAUGGACUAGCACUGUGAGAAAUCAGAUGGAAAGGAACAAACAUAGGGAGGUUCCAUCUGUACGUACCAUGGAAGGCGUCGAACCUCCACUAUAUUGGUGCUUUUUUGUAAACGAAGAAGAAUCAUGUGAGGCAAAAUGUCAGGAUCAGAGGCCACCAGCAGUGAACAUGGAACCCUGAGCAUGACGGCCAAUGAAGGGGGCAUCAAAACAUCUACAUAUUGAUUGGUAGCAGCAUCUUAUGUGGUGUAGUCCAUUGCAUUUUUCCGCGGUUUUCUCCCCAGCUGAAAUGCAUUUAUAGAGCAUGAAUUAGUCUUAUUUCGUCAGCAAAUGUACUAUGUAUUCGCAAGCUUAAAGGUACAUCAGAUGUUGGUUGUAAGUACACAGAGAACAUGUUUGAGUGACCAAGUUACGCUGGCACUGAAUACUGAAGGAGGUUUUUCUUUCACAACCAAAUGGUACGCUAUUUUGGUCCGCUACGAAAUGGAUUAUAGGAAAUAUGAAAGCAAGCUCAAAGGAAAAGAAAGGCGGGAUGUCAUGAUAUAAAACAAACAAGGAAAGCUCACACUGCAAGAUAGUUCAGCAGGUCAAUAGUAAUGCAACUAGGUGCAGGUAAUUACAUUGAACUACAGUUUGGGAGAACCAAAUAACCAACUGCAUGCCGGUCAUCAAAUGUGCAUCGAUAAAAGAUAAUCGUGUUCAAGUUUAAAUUCAAGUAGCACGCACGUAAUCUCUUAGAGACGUUGAGACAAACAGUUGAUGUGCAUGGAAGUAAAUCUCACAAACAUCAUGAGAAACAAGACGAAUGGAGGUUUGAGCUGUACCAAGAUGGCGUCAGAAGUCUCAGGGGCAGCAAUCGGAAGACGCGGAAGAGACGCAAGCAAUGGGAACGUAAACGGAGGGCCAUGUCAUCCGUAGCAGCAAGAACCAAGGGGAAAUGAGUAACAAACACAUCCUGUUAGAGAGAUAAACGUUGUCAGAAACCCAAACUGAAUCGAGAGUGAAACAAAACGAGGGAGAGUCGAUCGAAGUUGAGAUUAGAUCGCAAGGCGGCGACCUGUGCGAUGCGAGACUCCAAGGCGAGCCUGCUGCAGGAUUUAAUCGAGGUGAGCGAAGAAUCGAAUAAUGGAACCGGGAAGCUAUCCAUCGUCCACUCGUAGUGAAGUAUACUCUUAUUUUUAGCGCAGAUCAUCUUCGCUGUUAAGAGCGGCGAAAACAUAAGAGAAGAGAAAUUAGCAUCAUCAGUUGAUAGCUACUGCUACUGAACGAAAGAGAAAAAUAGCCAGCUGACCUGUCGCUCCUCGUCGCUUCUUCCGCUUGCACUGCUGUAGUGGAACCUUCGGCGACAUCGCCUAGGUCAUGGAGGAUCCGGUCCAUCCCGAGUCGCAGAACAGGAUGGUUGGGGUGUGUGUCCACUUCACGUUGCAGCGCACCAAGCUUUGCCACUCGACCACUCCAAUGAAGUGAAAUCUCCUUGAGUCUUGGAAGGUGUUUGAUACCAGUAAUCCCCGAUGGCAAACUGCAGUAUCUGAUUUCUACCUUUUCUAACUGGGGCGAGGUGCCCACCUCAAAUAUCAACUCUCUCAGUUGCUUCAUGUCCGAAAUGUCAAGUCUCCUGAGACUAGGGAAUGUUUCUGCUCUGAAAAUCAGUUUCCCCCCAACAUAAGACUGCCAAGAGAGACCAAGUACCAUGAGCUUGGUCAGUGCGCCUAGUAAUUCCAUGCUUUUGUCACCAUCCUUCAGAUUGCUCGACUUUAACUGAAUCUUCACCAAAUUUACCAGAUCCCCAAACCAGUCAGGCAUCUCCCCAAGAUCUCCAUCCAAAGUCAGCUUCCUCAGGAGAGGGGGAGGGGAGGAAAUAGAUUGCAACCACUUGAGUGAUGCACCACUUCUCCCAGAUGUACUAUCAUCCGCACAAAGGCAAAGAGAGCGGAGGGAAGUGAGCUUCUCAAGGGAUGUACAGAGUAUCUUGCUCUUUUGCUUGCAUGCCCCUACAUCGACACUUAACUUCCUUAGCUUUAUAAGCUCCCCGAGCUCUUUAACUGCUUUCCUACUUGUCCGUUCAAUAUCCACAAUCUCUAGUAUCUCUAACUCCUUUAGGUUGCUGAUCCCUUUGGGCAACCUCACACCUUGAGAGUUGGACAAACGAGCAGUCCAGGCCAAGUGAAUGCGCACCAUAAGGCCUGGACGCUCAUCCAUAUUAACUAAUGGAGUCAACAAAAUAGGCAUACAUAAUGUUGACAUGAACCAGAUCAUGGGGUAAAGUAAGCAUAAAUAUUCCUCGGCCCUCCUGUUGCUGCAUCGAAGGCUACGAAGGCUUUGUAGUUUAGUGACCUCAGUUGGUAGCGAUGUCACAUAACUUUGUCCUAUGUCCAAAGUCUCUAAGGCUUGUAGUUUUCCUAUUGAUCGUGGGAGCUUGUAAAUAUAAGUUAGUUCAUGUGAAGACUCAACAUGGACAUAUUUCAAAUGACGCAACGACCCUAUGGUGUUGAUGUCUUUUUGUGCAAAACAUGCAUCAUGUAUAUCCAAGACUCUAAGCAUCCUAAAGUCAGGUGAACAAAGUGAAGGUGCUGGAUUCAUGUGUCUGUCACCAAACACAGUCAAUGAUCGGACAUGGUUCCAGUCCAAGCCUUUAUUUGGGCACAAACUACCUUGGUAUGCUACAUGGCGGAAGUUAUUUCCUAUUGUGCCGAUUACAUUAUCCCACGUUGAGCAUGCAAAAUUUUCGUCUCUAGAAAUUGAGACUAUGACAUCGCGAACGAUAUCAUGAACUCGACAUCUCUUCACAGUUCCUUCUAUGUUCACUUUUGAUCGUUGAAUCAUGCUUCGGUUGGCUAGUUCAUUAAAAUAACUAUUCCCAACAUCCUCAGAACUCCAGCCAACCCUAGCGACAACAAACCCCUCAGCUAUCCAUCUUUCUACCAGACGCCUUCUUUUGAUUUCAAAAUCCUCGGGAAAUAUACUUAAAUAGAGGAAACAUGACUUAAGAUGAGAAGGCAAGUGGUUGUAACUAAGGGUAACCAUUGUCCUCAUUACUUCAAGGCCGCCGUUGCUCUCUAUCUCUGAGGGGAGUUGAUUAUAAAUACUUUGCCACUCACUGACCACUCUGGUGGCAAGCAUGCUUCCUAUUGCGAGUAUUGCUAGAGGUAACCGUCCAGACUUCUUUACUAUCUUAAUGACUAUUUUCCUCAUAUGCUCGUCAUUUUUCAUGUCUUCCAAACUUUUCCUUGUCCUCCUUAGUAGCAAAUUUAUUGCAUCAUUUGCUUCUAGGGGUACAUGGUGGUAGAUAUGUGAUCCAAAAGAUUCAAAAAUGCACCUCUCAGCUAAGCCAACAUCUCGUGUUGUUAACAUAAUCCGGCUACCUCUGUUAUUACUACUUGGUAAAGCAAUAGUUUUGAUCCACUUCCAAUCAUCUAUACUCCAUAAGUCAUCAAAAACAACAAAAUACCUCUUCUCAAGUAGUUCUUUCCUGAGGUAGUCGGCGAGAUCCUCUUCUCGCACCACCUUCUUGUUAAGUAGAUGCUUCGAUGCUUUUUCAUCAAUAAGUUGUUUGAUCAUAUCUGUGAGAACCUUCAUCCUGGAAAAUGACUGCGAGAUAUUGAUCCAAGCACAAUAAUAUGUAUUUUUUAUACGUUCAUAAACCCUCUUUGUAAGAGCAGUCUUACCCAGACCACCCAUGCCAACCACGCAUACUACCCGAGCAGGGCCAUUGUGAGCAUGGUUAUUUAAAAGCUUCAUCAGCUUUUCUUCGGGCUCGUCUAACCCUACAUGUUCAGAAUUAUCAAUGUUGCUAGCUGAUUGUUUGCGAAUACCUUCCAUGCAAGAAUUACUCUCAUCAAUAGCUCUACUUAUUUUAUUCAUCUCAAUUAGGUUGUAGCGGAUGUUCCUGUUGCUCACUUCUUCAACUCUUGAUUUUAGAUCACGGAUCUGCAUGGCAAUUCGAUGGCGGUCUUUGAGCUCUAUAAGCUUCCGCGACAAGCUUUGACUUGCUACAUGCACCAUAAAUUCACCAAGGCAAUCUUCAAUAUUGUAGGACAGGUCCCUUACUUGCUUUGCCCACACCUUCAGUAACUUGUCUCUCUCCUUCAUUGCUUCAGCAGUCUCCAGGAAAGCAUGCAUCGUCUCUAGCUCAUCUUUGAUGAACCUGCCAAAAGGCCCACAAAAGAACUUAGAACAAAAAUUGGUGACCUUGAUAUAGGAUGUAAUGUGUACGAACAUAUGACGGAAUUUGAACCUUCCUGAACAAAUUUUGCCCGGGCCACUAUGAAAGUUUUGUAGUGCAAACAAUUUAAGUAAAACUAUUGGUCAUGUUUCAAGCAUUCAUAGACAUAACCAAUUUCNNNNNNNNNNNNNNNNNNNNNNNNNNNNNNNNNNNNNNNNNNNNNNNNNNNNNNNNNNNNNNNNNNNNNNNNNNNNNNNNNNNNNNNNNNNNNNNNNNNNNNNNNNNNNNNNNNNNNNNNNNNNNNNNNNNNNNNNNNNNNNNNNNNNNNNNNNNNNNNNNNNNNNNNNNNNNNNNNNNNNNNNNNNNNNNNNNNNNNNNNNNNNNNNNNNNNNNNNNNNNNNNNNNNNNNNNNNNNNNNNNNNNNNNNNNNNNNNNNNNNNNNNNNNNNNNNNNNNNNNNNNNNNNNNNNNNNNNNNNNNNNNNNNNNNNNNNNNNNNNNNNNNNNNNNNNNNNNNNNNNNNNNNNNNNNNNNNNNNNNNNNNNNNNNNNNNNNNNNNNNNNNNNNNNNNNNNNNNNNNNNNNNNGGGAGGGGUGAAAACAUGAAAAAAAACUGCUCCAAAUUACAAAAGACUGUAUAUUCGUGGCUGAAAUUGGAUUGGACCUAAGCUAGCCUAGGCGCCCUAGUGUUGCCUAACCGAUCGGCUUGAGUGCAAGAUCUUUACCUAUUGUAUCACUUUGCCUCAGUGUGCUUAGAUACAAUGUGCUAGUACCAAUUCCAUGGAUCGAUCUCGUCACUCAUAUCCAACUAAUGAACAGCCCCGUUCAGCUCACGUGAACAGCCACAUGCGAUCCUCAUCGCCGCCGGCAGCGGCCUGUAGGCUGGCUAUCUAGUGGCGGCAGGGCCUGUAGGCCGUCCCCCCUCCACUCCCACCCCCUCUCUCCAUGAUUCUAUUAUGGAGCCCGUUGGCAUCUCCGGCGUUCAUCCAGAUUGGGAUGGGUAGACCGAUGGUUGUCGACGUGACUGGAUGCUCGCUCUGUUGAUUUUCCUCCCGGCGGCAUCUCCUGCUUCCCAGCGUUCAGAUCUGAUCGGGCAAGCCGAUGGUCAUUGUGGUGGUUGUCUCGAUCUGGCGGCCAUGGACUGGGCGACACUGAUGGCUUGGGGCUUCGGCGUGGUGGAGCUCGAAGGCUCCAUGGUAGUGCUGCGGUGGUCGCGUCUGGGUGGAUGGCAGAUGGUACUGGUUGAUUUGCCAGAUCAGGCUUCUCGAUCUCCGGUGGCUGUAGCGGGAAGGGUGGUCACUCCGACUGCGGCGACGACACCUCUACGAAUUGUUGUGGCCACUGAAAGAUUUACAUGAGGUUUUCGCUCUUAAGAUCAGGUGAUUGUCUUAUGUGGUGUAAUGCAAUCUAUGAACGAUGGCUUGACGUAGAGGGUAUCAGUGUGCAACAAGGACACUUGGUUUUCCAUACCGGUGCAUGUAGCUGCUGGGGUCAUGGAAAAGUGUUGGCGACAACACUUGAUUGACAUCAACGAGCUAUGGGACAAAAACCUAGGUUUGACUCAUGUUGGUCAUACCCGGCAAUGGCGAUGUAUUUGCAUUGUCACCUUGUUGAAGGCAUUGCUCGGAUAUGCUUUGUCUGAUUCUUCAACUUGAAAGCCUAGAUUAUGGCCUUUGCUGGUUGGAUCCGGUGAUGGCGACCUCUCUUCAUGAAGGUGUUGCUAUUGAAAGACCUCUUUGGCUUUGUGGUGUCAUAAGAUGAUUGGUGGUGAUAUGGCCAUAGCUAUAGUUUGUCGAUCGUGGAUUUGAUCGCUUCGGUUUUCUUUCCUCGCUUAGGCAUAGUUUUGGUCUGAUUUGACUAUUGCCAGCAUGUUUUAUGUAUGUGUGCAUUAGUAUUGGUUGUGUGCACUUUAUUUGUACGGAGGCUAGGUGUGUGCUUAUUGUGUUUAUAUCCUCUUGAUGCUUCAUUUUCAGUGAAUAAAAUCCAUACUUUAUCGAAAAAUCCAAUUAGUGAAAGAUGUAAUGAUGAAACUAUAGGAGAAGAAAAAGUGUUGGUUUUGAUUGCCAAUCUUGGGUUGUCACCUUUUGAAAGAGAGAAUAACUUGCUGAUGGAGUGCAGCUAGUAGAAUAGAGUUCAUCACAACAUUGAACUCUUCUCAUAAAAUUAAAAAAUGGCCUGAACACAAGAAGCGCGGAGAAGUUAGUAAUUGCGAACAUAGUUACCAGAUAUCCUUGCGCACGCCCAUGAGGAGACUCAUCUCGGCAGCAGCGGCAGAUGCGGCUGUGCUGAUGGCGCCUCCCAGCAUGGACCUUGCCAUGCUCAGCACCGUCCCCGCCAUCUCCGGCUAAUUCCUCUUCUUGCUCCUGCUCAAGUUGGAACAGUUGCUUGCAGUUAGCUGCCUCACAAGCCCUGGUAGGAGUGGGCUCUACUUAUAGCAGCUGAUUGAUUGACUGAGCCCUGGCUGUGAACCAAGUCGUGUGAAUGAUACAAACGUCCUUAUCCCAGUGCAGUUAAUGCGCUUGGAAUUCUCGCAAGAAAAGACGAACAAAAUUUCGAGCUUGGACAUCAACUCACGAGAUGUGUGUUUCCAGUGCGUUUGGUUGUUCCUUGUGAAAUUUUGUUUUCAAAUUAUAUCAUGGAAUUAUUAUGGCCCUUGUUUUCCUUGCUGACCAGACCAAAGGGAGCCAAGCAAAUUACCUUGACUUGGCGGCCAAACGACAAUAAUUGUAUUUUGGAAAUUAAACAGCAAAAAUAAAUAUAGAUAUUUUGGAAGCAACAAACCCAGAAUAGUCUGCUCCAAGAAGAAAAAAACAGUGCAGCGAGUACAACAAACAAAGGAAUCCUGCACUGACAAUUGCAUGCCUUCACAACAGGUUGAUUGAACAUCCAUACCUUGUUGUUUUAGAAGAAUCUAUCAUCCUCUGCAGUCAUCGGCUCAGUUACAUUGAAGCCCCCAAGUCAUUUGCAGUCAUGAACGACCACCACUACAAGAAAAAUGUAGUUUGGCGAGUGUCGAGUGGUUUGCCGGGUGCAUUUCAUCAGCCACUCGACAAAACAAGCCUUUGCUUCCGGACAAAAUAAUUGAUACAAAAAGGAACUCGAUAAACGAUAUAAACAUGAGUUUUACCAGCAUACAAAAAUCACUCAGCAAAGCAUCUUCAAAAGACAGAGCCACCAGAUUUUAAGAUUGAUGUAACCAUAAUUUGAAGCUUACAAUACCGCUGAGUAUGCUACUUCAUUAGAUGUGGGGCGCCACACAUGGCUUUAGUAUCCCAUGUGAUUCUAUCUGAAUACGUGUAAACAUUUUGGUUGAUUUAGAAAGCAUAGCGGUAUUGCCUAAAAAUUAGUCAAGACCUUGGAGAACUAGCGAUGGUUAUACACAUUCUAGAUAUUGGUUAAGAUAGAUCAUUGUUUCUUGUGAAAUAUGUCUAUGUGCUUGUUGAGGAUGUCUAUAUAAACAAGAUAAAACUCUGUCCAAAUCACUAAUUAUUCCAAGGGUAAUAGUUUUACGGUAGUGUGGUGGCACCGUCAGGUUUGGUUGAAAUUUGAGGUGUUAGAGCAUCUACAACCGGAUCUCUCAAACCCGCCUCAUACGCCCGGGUGGGCCGACCGGUAACUGUCCGAUCACGAUUUUUUACCCAGACGGACCUCUCAAAUGACCCACAAAUGUCCGGGCUGACCGGCACCCCCCAUAUCCAGCCCAAACAUGGGGCGGAUAUGGGGGCACUCGGGCGUAUCCAAUGCAGUUAAUGCGCAUGGAAUUCUCGCAAAAAAAGACGAAGAAAAGUUUGAGCAUGGACAGCUAUAUGGGCGCCAUGUGCGUUUGGUUCCUAGUGACAUUUUGUUUCGAAAUUCUUUCAAGGAAUUAUUGUGGCCUUUGUUUUCCUUGUGAAAUAUCCGAGCAUCUUCCCGUGUGGAAUAGACCAAGGGGAGCCAGGCAAAUCAUCUUGACUUGACUUUGGGGGGGCCCAAACAAUGUAAUGGUAUUUUGGAAAUUAUACGGCAAAAAUAAAUACAGAUAUUUUAGGAGCAGAAAAACGAGAAUAGUCUUCUCCAGAAAAGAAAAAUUAAAGAAAAGACAAAAGAAAAAGAAAGAAAAAAGAGAGCAGGGUGUACAGCAAAAAAAGGAAGUCUGUACUGACAACUGCACGCCUCUGCUAUAGAAAAAGCAGUGAUUGGUUGAUCAUAUAUUCCAUGAUGUUGUUUUCAGAGAAAUGAUCUUCAUCUGCAGGUUUGCUCCCUUGCCUCUGCUAAAUUGAAGCCCCCAAGUCACUUGCAGUCAUAUAAUUUUGUAACAACAGUCCGUGAGAAGAUAUUGUCAGGGACAAAUUAAUGGCAUUGCGUGAUCACAAGGAUGCCAAGAGUACAGACCUGGCAUCACCCCAUACUGAAUAUCAACCAACUUGAUGUUGGAUCUAGUCCCGUUCUAUGAAAUAGAGUACAGACCUGGCAUCACCCCAUACUGACAAGAGAAAUGUGGAAACUGCAAGAUAAUUGCAAAGUAACACCAACGAAAACCACAUAGCUGAUAUUACAGGUGAAAAACAGAGCAUUCAUAUCUGGCUACAUUACAAGUUCCAUUGGCUUGCAUAGUAGCAUGUCUCCUCAUUCUUCAAUUACAAAUAAUUACAGAACAUAGUGGCAGCACAAAAUUGAUUAUCGUCAUAGUAGAAGCAGAUCAUGUGAUAAUAUGGUGAAGAGUGCAAGAUGAUGCAGCAAACUAAUUAAUGUUCCUGGGACUGGAAAGAUGUUGGAGUCCAAAGAAAAUACAGUUUAGUAUCAACUUGACCCAUUCCAUGGUGAAGAACUGAUCAUCGUCUGGAAAAUGGUACGAGACCCAUGAAGCAAGUGUCACUUUUGAACCUCGGUUGGUGGCGUCACAACCAUGGAAAUGAUGUUGUAGCUUGCUCCAACAUCGUAGGAACAUUUAAAGGUCAGGGGCGAAUCCUGCAUGAAAAACUGCACAGGUGUUAGUGUCAUCGUCACUGAAUUCUUUGUAUGCCUUCAACUUAUUAAACAGUCUAACACGCAGGUUAAAAAACAAUACCUACCAGAAAGUUCCGCACAUAGAGAACCCAGGUAAACCAUCUGGCCUCGCUUGCAGUGGUGACCAAUCUUAUAACUAUGGACAAUAGGAUGAACAUUGCAGCUUCGACGCUUAGUACUUAGUGGUGCAUCAUCUGUACUUUGUUGGAUCUUCCUCCUCUUCUGCCCAGCUGAAUCUGAUUAGAUUUUUUCGAUAAAGGGCUUUUCAUUGAAUUGAAAUAUCGAGUUGAUGAAUCUGAUUAGAUAGAAGAGCAUUAGUUUAUUUCGCACAUGUUAAUUAGAUGUCAAACUCUGUCACAUGGGGGAUGCUCAAGGAACUCUUGAUAUAAACAGGGGUGUAAAUUUAUGUGGCCAUAAGCUGAAAACUUUUAUCAGGAAUUGCAAGUACAGAGUAUGUGACAGUCUAACAUGAUGAUUACGACAGAAAUGAGAUGCUGGAUGUUGCUGAACUGACCUUUUUAUCAGUAUGAGCCCGUCACAGUUGACACUUUAGAUGUGCGUGGACUGUGAGGCAUUGCGAACUCGAUAGGGAUUCCUCAGCUUCCAGCUUCACCUGAGAUCACUACAUCACGGUCAGCUAAGUACUAGAUUCUUACUCCAUUCACAACAGGAUCUGAUUGGGAUGUUCACUCCAGCUUCAUAGCUCCUCAGUGCCCUGCUCAAAUCUCAUAGUUGCUCCAGCUUGAAUAGUAAAAAUUUCUCCUAGUUGUCCAGCUUGAACUGUAAAAAUACUUCAUAGUUGCUCCUGGACACCAAGAUUCGGAAUAAACAUUUGUUACAUAAUAUCAACCAUUCAAUUGCUGCUCCAGCUUGUCUUGGGUUGAAAAUAUCUAAUGUUUACAGUGCAAAAAAUUGUACUUAAUCGGAGCAUGUUAAAGAGCACUUGCAUACAGAAAACUGUAUCUGUUGGGCAACUAGUUGAAUUUAACAGGAAGAAGAAACUGAAACAUUCCAUAGAUACUAAUACUAAAACAUGCUGGAAAUAGAAUGCUAACGUUGCGGAGCUACUGAAUACGCUAACUCUGCUCUGAGAGACAAAAACGGUAAUAGACAUUUCACAAACCAGCAUACCAGAUGUAAUCAGACAAACAGAGGGAGAUGAUUCCUCCGUUGCUUGCUCCACUCGUACAGUAUUGGAUUGUUCCACUUCCACGUCGUCCACCAGGUCAUGGCGGGUCCAGUAGGCAGAUAUUCGCAGUAGCGAAUGGUUCGGGGUGCGCGCCCAUCUCACGUUGCAUGGAUUUUUGGAACGAAUUCAGCUGGUUAAACAGCCUAACACUGAUUUUUACAAGGAAAUACCACCGCGAUGUGAUGUUACGCCGUAUGGAGAAAGCAUCUGGCCUCUCUUGAAGUUGGGUCCCAUGCAUCUUGUAACUGUCCACAAUGGGACGAAUAAUUACUGCAGCUUGGUGGUGCUCCUGGGUGCCCAGCUGAAUCUGAAUGCACUACGUGGAGCACUAGUUUAUUUCGUCAAUCUGCAGCAGGAAGUCUUUGCUAAAAACAGGGGUACGUGUAUAUGAUAUGUGUUGACAAGCACAAACCGGAAAAGAACAAGAUAGCUAGAAAUAUUUGAGCUGUACCACUAUAGUGUUACAUGGUGGACCUGACAGGAGGCUUGCUCCAAUUCAGUCAGCACGAGUUGUAAUUGUAAAGCAGACCAUCUUGGCUGUUACACAUAAAAAGAAAACAAAUAGGAACACCGUAAGCGUACGGUAGUACAAAUUAAUUAGCACAUCUCACUCCGUAGUUACUACGUACUACUGGUUUAAGGAAACAGAAGCAAUUAGCUGACCUGACGUUUGUCGUCACCAUGGCCACCGCCUGGGACCGUGAGAGCUCUCCCGCAGCUGCAGAUUCCACGUCGUGGUAUCUUUUGGGCAUCUGCAGUCGCAGCACAGGACUGUUGGGGUGUGCGUCCACUUCACUUUGCAGCAUAGCAAGCUUCGCCACUCGACCAUAGGAACCAAGCGAGAUCUCCUUGAGCUUUGGAAGCUGGUUGACUCCAAUAAUUCCUGAUUCCAACGUGCACCCACUGAUUUCUAUCUUUUCCAACUCGGGCGAGGUGCCCUCCUCGAAUAUCAACUCUCUCAGUUGCUUCAGACCAUAAAUAUCCAGUUUUUUGAGAUUUGGCAACGUUCCCGUUUCAAACACCAACUUCUCCCCAAUAUAAGAGUCAUUUCCAAGACAAAUCUGCAUGAGGUUGGGAAGUGGCCCUAGUAUUUCCAUGAUUUUACAUUCUUCCUUUAUUAUGCUGCCCUCUAAGUAAAGCUUGACCAAAUGCAUCAUAUUGGCAAACCAGUCAGGAAUCUCUCCAAGGGGUCCAUCCAACUUCAGACUCCUCAACAGGGGAGGAGGAGAGGAAACGGCAUGCAGCCACUCCAGUGAACCAUCCACUUCAAGAGAGCGCAGGCAAGUGAGCUUCUGAAUGGCAUCACAGAGUACCUUGCAUUUCUGCUUGGUGGCCCCUUCUGUUACCACGCUCAGUUUUCUCAGCUGCACAAGCUCACCUAGCUCUUUAAUUGCCUUGCCACUGGUUCGGCUGAUGUCCACGACCUCUAGUAUUUGCAGCUCUUUCAGUUUGCCGAUUCCUUUUGGAACCCUAACACCUUCUGACUCAGACCGACGGCUAGCCCAGGCCAUGUGUAGCUCGGCAACUACCUUGGUACGCUCACUAGGAUCAACCAAAGGUGUGAACAGCAUGGGCAGACAAAGUGUUCGCACCAAGCAUGCCUUGGGGUCAUACACCAGGUCAAAGCAUUGAUAGGAAUUAUUUCUGGUACAAAGAGACUGUGUAGACUCUUGAGUUUACAAAUCUCAAUUGGCAGUUCUGUAAUAUAACUGUCUCUAAUGUUCAAAGUUUGCAGGCCUUGUAAUCUCCCUAUGGAUCUAGGAAGUUUAUAAAUAUGUGAAUAUCCUCGAGGAUCAGAAAAAUUCAGAUACUUCAAGUGGCGAAACAAUCCUAUGUUGCUGAUAUCCUUCUGUGUGACUUGAAACUGUGCAUUCU